Molecule: transfer RNA, 121 nt
Filed under: Aliterella atlantica CENA595
Lineage: Bacteria; Bacillati; Cyanobacteriota; Cyanophyceae; Chroococcidiopsidales; Aliterellaceae
Rfam family: tRNA
About the family: Transfer RNA (tRNA) molecules are approximately 80 nucleotides in length.
Source: Rfam by way of RNAcentral
UGGCGGGUAGCUCAAAGGUAGAGCGCCAAUUUCGCCUGAAAAGGACGCAGAAUCGAGGGUUAUCGUUGAAAAAUAAUCUCCUUGAUUCAUAGGGAUGCGGGUUCAAUUCCUGCUCCGCUAC